GACUAUACCUUUGAUGUCACAAAAUUAUGGGCAUAACCGUAAUAUCAAUCUUAUUGUUCUACCACACAAAACAAGGACAUGGAUUUUGUUAAUCAGAAACAAAUGGCGAGCACUUUGUUGUCCGUACACCGCUUUCUUCCCUCCCAAAGGAGGGAAAACAUUGGAUACUUGAGUGGAAUCAGGACUUCAUUGUGUGGACAAGUUGUGCUCAAUCCAAAUUUCCCUGGGAGACAGAUAACAGGAAGCCAUGGAAACCGUUUUGUUGUUAACUCACUGUUUGGAAUUGGAAAGAAGGCCAAGAGUAGAGUGAUCAGAGAGACUGUGAUUCCUGAACCAGAUUAUAGGAUUCCGAUUGUACUACUUGGUUUUGCCGGUGGGUUGGUUUACACAGAUAAUCUAGUGCCUGGUGUCCCUGUUGGUCUCCUCGGAUUGCUUCUGUUGUUCCAGACAACUAGAGUGAGAUUUGUCUUUGAUGAUGAGGCUUUGGAGGUAAAGAUAGGCGAUCAGCUCGACGAAUCGGGUGAGAAUGCUUUUGUCGGUGGAAAAAAUCGCUGGAAGUACUCAACCUUCGUGAAUUGGGAAUUCUGGUGGCCAAACUUCCCUAUCUUGGUUUACUUCAAGGAAACACAAACAAAGCCUGAAGGACAAAUUCACUUCUUUCCAAUAAUCUUUAAUGGAAAGCAGCUUUAUGAUGUUAUGGUGGAAAGAGCUGGUUCUUCAAAAACUAGUGCUCCAAAAGAAUCCUAAAGACUUAGUUGUGUGGCUUGAGCCUCAGGAAUCGAUGUCUCUAGGGAGUAAUUGUUUCGAAUUACAGUUUUGAAACCAUGGAUAUCUUGGGAAUCCUGCAAGGAGGUUUCUCAAGUUUGGGUUGUUGCUUGUGGCUAGUGGAAGAUGAUGCAGUGCUCUCAGAUGUUUCAAGUUGCAUACAAGUUGAAGCACAAUAACAAUUCAUUUAUUAUUAUUUAGUAUUGCUAGCACAUAAGUAGCACAUUCUAUUUAUUUGAACUGGCUAGUUAUUUACUUUAUAAUUUCACAGUACCCAUUUAUAAAUUAUUCGAAUCAUGGUUUCUUCCGGAGAUGAUAUAAUCUCCUAUAUGUUUCAAACUUCAUAUUGGUUACUACAAAUCAAACAUGAGAAGCUUUUGUAUUCUGUA
Molecule: RNA transcript, 1154 nt
Organism: Lathyrus oleraceus (garden pea)
Lineage: Eukaryota; Viridiplantae; Streptophyta; Magnoliopsida; Fabales; Fabaceae
Exons: 9
Source: RefSeq, a predicted model, not a curated record